This 490-nucleotide ribosomal RNA is filed under the name uncultured bacterium. RNAcentral describes it as "partial 16S ribosomal RNA". It matches the Rfam family "Bacterial small subunit ribosomal RNA", at positions 30 to 507 of the family's 1533-position model. The record is from RNAcentral.
AUUGAACGCUGGCGGCAGGCCUAACACAUGCAAGUCGAACGGUAACAGGAAGAAGCUUGCUUCUUUGCUGACGAGUGGCGGACGGGCGAGUAAUGUCUGGGAAACUGCCUGAUGGAGGGGGAUAACUACUGGAAACGGUAGCUAAUACCGCAUAACGUCGCAAGACCAAAGAGGGGGACCUUCGGGCCUCUUGCCAUCGGAUGUGCCCAGAUGGGAUUAGCUAGUAGGUGGGGUAACGGCUCACCUAGGCGACGAUCCCUAGCUGGUCUGAGAGGAUGACCAGCCACACUGGAACUGAGACACGGUCCAGACUCCUACGGGAGGCAGCAGUGGGGAAUAUUGCACAAUGGGCGCAAGCCUGAUGCAGCCAUGCCGCGUGUAUGAAGAAGGCCUUCGGGUUGUAAAGUACUUUCAGCGGGGAGGAAGGGAGUAAAGUUAAUACCUUGGCUCAUUGACGUUACCCGCAGAAGAAGCACCGGCUAACUCCGUG